GAUGAACGCUAGCGACAGGCUUAACACAUGCAAGUCGAGGGGCAGCGGGGCGGUCAGCUUGCUGAACGCCGCCGGCGACCGGCGCACGGGUGAGUAACACGUGUCCAACCUGCCCUUUACUCGGGGAUAGCCUUUCGAAAGAACGAUUAAUACCCGAUGGCAUAAUGAUUCCGCAUGGUUUCAUUAUUAAAGGAUUCCGGUAAAGGAUGGGGAUGCGUUCCAUUAGGUUGUUGGUGAGGUAACGGCCCACCAAGCCUUCGAUGGAUAGGGGGUUCUGAGAGGAAGGUCCCCCCACAUUGGAACUGAGACACGGUCCAAACUCCUACGGGAGGCAGCAGUGAGGAAUAUUGGUCAAUGGGCGUUAGCCUGAACCAGCCAAGUAGCGUGAAGGGAUGAAGGCUCUAUGGGUCUAAACUUCUUUUAUAUAAGAAUAAAGUGCAGUAUGUAUACUGUUUUG
This 457-nucleotide ribosomal RNA is filed under the name uncultured bacterium. RNAcentral's name for it is "bacterial SSU rRNA". It matches the Rfam family "Bacterial small subunit ribosomal RNA", at positions 28 to 471 of the family's 1533-position model. The record is from RNAcentral.